CGAAUCGUAGAAAGUUCGAAAAAAAAUUCGAACACCCAUUACCAUAGUAGCCUAGUUACCGCGAGUGAUUAUAAACAAUGAAAAAAUGGUUUUGCAUAAACAAGAAAUGGUCUGUCUUAACGCCGAUAAUAAUUCAGCCAUCCCAACCGCAACAGCAGCAAACAACCACAAUUUCAGCGUUCUUCAGUAACAUUUCACAGCAGCACAUUAAGAUUUUCCAUCAUCCGACCGGGAUAUAGCAAAAACUAUGCUUCUGCCACAGAGUUUGAAUCCCGAUCCUGCAGUUCCCGCUCCUAUCUCCGAUGCCUCAAUUUGAUACUAAUCAUCAGAAUGACCGCUUCAACAACAUCGUUGGCUUCAAGUUCUGCAACCUUAUCAACUUCGCGUUUUUCCAAAUAUUGUCGACGUGAUUCAAUCCUCAACUUGGGUAGCAACUUGCUCAUCCACUUCGAGCUUCUCCUCUAAAUCGGACACAAGAUCGCUUUGGAUUUGCAAGAAACAUUUCGUCAACGGAAGAACUGCGAGUCCAUAUGAUUUUGCUGAUGUCGAGUGGGUUCCAAGCCUCUGCUUGGAUACAACUGAAAGUUUCCUAAAUGUAGUAGAUGCAAAAUUUGAAAAUGUAGAUAAUAGUAACUUCCUGCGGCAGAGCCAAUAUAUGGAUAUGGAAAAACCUGUCGUCUAUGUCAAGAGAACAUUGCUCUGAUGUCUGCACUGCAUCCACUUCCAUCACCCUUGUAUAAUCGUCGUUUAAAAUGGCUUAAUAAGGAAAUUGCUGGCAUUCAACUACCUUUCAAGACUGAGUAUACAACAAUUUUGCAUAUGAGCUAUGUCUAACAAAACUAGAAGAGUUUCACACUUGGCGUGAACGUCAACAGAUCAUCGACUCUUUAAUUAGAACGUUUCGGGAGAACGAAAAAGACCGCCGGAAUGUCCCACCAAUACCAAUCGUGUCUAAUCCCAUUGAACGACUAAUGGAAGAUUAUAUGGAGGAGGUUCUCCCGUUAAACUCGUCUAAUGGAGAACGUGGAAUAAAGAUUAAACAUGAAACGAUAUCAACGAUACCUGAACGAGAUGAACAAUUUGAUCAGCUGAAGAAUGAAUUUUUUUCCGCGAUAGAACCUUUUAGUGUAGAAUUGGCUCGAAUUGAUACUGAUGUUUCAGUGGUUUCUCCCACAGAGAUACCUUUGGGUGGAGAAAAAUAGAUUGAUCAGAAAGAUGCUAAAAAAUUAGGAGAUAAAUGGUGGAACUAAAUCCCAAGAAGAGUCGAAGGUAGUUGUGGAGAGCACGAUUUAUGUAUUUAUGGAUUGAUUUUAAAUACGUUUGCAAUACAAAAAAUGUGCGUUCUUAGGAAACUCAUUGCUGAAUACUAAAUCGUAUGCCAUUGUCUCGAAAAUUCUGCAUAGUCCACCGAUAGAAGUUGAUAUCAAUUUCGUAGGAUUCGUUGCGGGUAUCAAUUUUGACGGUUUUCUUGUUUUGUUUCAUUGUUUCAGCAGAUCUACCACCAAGACCUCGGCGUCCUAUCUUGAUUUGACAAUUGAUGGGAUCAACUGUGAGAAACAGUUCCUAGAUCCUAAUGAACCGCCGCUCCAACCAAUCUUCUGAAGCUACUUGAAUCCCAAAUUGCUUUCGUCGAUUUUCUUCUCCUUAAAGUCAUCAACUAUAUGACCCGGCGGUCUACAGUUUCGUCAAUUUCUUUACAUUCGACGCUUUCGUUGUCUAGAUUGACGGAUUGCUUUUUCCGCUGAAAGAAAAACAAACACUGAAAAUUUUUUGAAAAUAAAGUGGUGGACAACAAAAUAUCUUACAACAA
This is a long non-coding RNA of Topomyia yanbarensis, 1810 nucleotides long. RefSeq lists it as uncharacterized. NCBI's taxonomy places the organism in Eukaryota, Metazoa, Arthropoda, Insecta, Diptera, Culicidae. The record is from RefSeq and is a predicted model, not a curated record. The transcript is spliced from 3 exons.